GUCCCAAAGAGCCCUAUUCCCUACAUCAGGGCUUCUCAAACCACUUCCCUGGGACCCCCAGACCUUACACAAUGUUGUUGUAGCCCUGAACUAGGUCACUUGAUUCAAGUAGUCAAAGGGCUUGACGUUUAGUUGACAAGUUGAAUCAGGUGUGCUCGCCAAUUAUCAUACUUGAGUAAAAGUAAAGACAGAAAAUGACUCGAGCGAAAGUGAAAGUCGCCCAGUAAAAUGCUACUUGAGUAAGUCUUAAAGUAUUUGGUUUUAAAUAUACUGAAGUAUAUAUAUAUAUAUAUGUAUAUGCCAUUUAGCAGACGCUUUUAUCCAAAGCGACUUACAGUCAUGUGUGCAUACAUUCUACGUAUGGGUGGUCCCGGGAAUCGAACCCACUACCCUGGCGUUACAAGCUCCAUGCUCUACCAACUGAGCCACAGAAGGACCACAUGUAUAAAUCAUUUCAAAUUCCUGAUAUUAAUCAAACCAGACGGCACCAUUUUCAGUUUGUUAUUUAUUUACGGACAGCCAGGGUCUCCAACGCUCAGACAUCAUUUAAAAACAAUGCAUUUGUGUUUAUUAGUCAGUCUGCCAGAUCAGAGGCAGUAGAGACGACCAGGGGAUGUUAUUUUGAUAAGUGCGUGAAUUUGACCAUUUUCCUCUCCUGCUAAAGCAUUCAAAAUGUAACGUGUACUUUUGGGUGUCGGGGAAAAUGUUGGGAGGAAAAAGUGCAUUUAUUUUCUUUAGGAACGUAGUGAAAUAAAAGUUAAAGUUGUCAAAAAUAUAAAUAGUAAAGUACAGAUUCCUCCAAAAACUACUGAAGUAAAAUGACUUUAAAGUACUAGUUAAGUGGUUUCCACCCCUGGUGCUGUGGAAUAGAUGAAAACCAUAGAACGACUGAUUGUCCCCAAGAGAGGAUGGAUACACACUGCCCUACAUAAGUGCACUACUUUUCACCAGAGCCCUAUGGGUUUGCCUGGUCAGAGGUAGUGGUAUAAGUAAAUAAUUGGGUGCUAUUUAGGACACAUGUCCAGGUGAAGGGUCACACAGCCAGGUGAAGGGUCACACAGCCAGGUAAAGGGUCACACAUCCAGGUGAAGGGUCACACAGCCAGGUAAAGGGUCACACAGCCAGGUGAAGGGUCACACAUCCAGGUGAAGGGUCACACAGCCAGGUAAAGGGUCACACAGCCAGGUGAAGGGUCACACAGCCAGGUGAAGGGUCACACAGCCAGGUGAAGGGUCACACAUCCAGGUGAAGGGUCACACAUCCAGGUGAAGGGUCACACAGCCAGGUGAAGGGUCACACAUCCAGGUGAAGGGUCACACAUCCAGGUGAAGGGUCACACAUCCAGAUGAAGGGUCACACAUCCAGGUGAAGGGUCACACAUCCAGAUGAAGGGUCACACAUCCAGGUGAAGGGUCACACAUCCAGGUGAAGGGUGGUUGACAUCCAGCUGAAGGGUCACACAUCCAGGUGAAGGGUCACACAUCCAGGUGAAGGGUCACACAUCCAGGUGAAGGGUGGUUGACAUUCAGGUGAGUGGUCUCUUGGUGAUGUCCUGCUCUGUCAGGUAGUAGUUGAGGUAUCCUCCCAGAGCGCUCACUGACACGCCUGUUAUGUGACUGGAACAACCAUCUGGAGGGAGG
Molecule: long non-coding RNA, 1640 nt
Organism: Oncorhynchus keta (chum salmon)
Lineage: Eukaryota; Metazoa; Chordata; Actinopteri; Salmoniformes; Salmonidae
Exons: 4
Source: RefSeq, a predicted model, not a curated record